GGCGCUGGUGGUGGCACGUCCAGCCACGGCUGGGCCGGGGUUCGAGUCCCUGCAGUGUU
RNAcentral lists this small RNA (59 nucleotides) under Nomascus leucogenys (northern white-cheeked gibbon). Lineage: Eukaryota; Metazoa; Chordata; Mammalia; Primates; Hylobatidae. The record is from RNAcentral.